This 303-nucleotide ribosomal RNA is filed under the name uncultured bacterium. RNAcentral's name for it is "partial 16S ribosomal RNA". It matches the Rfam family "Bacterial small subunit ribosomal RNA", at positions 507 to 807 of the family's 1533-position model. The record is from RNAcentral.
AGCAGCCGCCGCGGUAGUACGUAGGUGGCAAGCGUUGUCCGGAAUUAUUAGGCGUAAAGGGCUCGCAGGCGGUUUCUUAAGUCUGAUGUGAAAGCCCCCGGCUCAACCGGGGAGGGUCAUUGGAAACUGGGAAACUUGAGUGCAGAAGAGGAGAGUGGAAUUCCACGUGUAGCGGUGAAAUGCGUAGAGAUGUGGAGGAACACCAGUGGCGAAGGCGACUCUCUGGUCUGUAACUGACGCUGAGGAGCGAAAGCGUGGGGAGCGAACAGGAUUAGAUACCCCGGUAGUCCCUGUCUCUUAUAC